CCUCCGUACCUUUCACUGUGGACGCCAUGUUCUUCUUCAUCCUCUCCAUCACGCUGCUGCUGUCCUGCUCCUUCUUCAGCUCCUCCGCCAUCAGAGCCGCCUGAAACACGGAGGACCGACAAGGUUUAAAGACACGCAGCCGGCUGAGGGGGAGCCGGAGGUCAGAGGUCAGGGGUCAGCACUGACGUCGGUGAUGGCCUUCUUGGCUUUUUCCUCCACGCCGCGACUCUCCUGCGUGGCCUCGUCCACCUCCCCCGCCAGCAGGGACACGUCGGCCUCCAGCUUCUUCUUCUGGUUCGUCAGAGCCGAGUGCUGGAACACAGGCGGGCCAUUGAUCAGUUGAUCAAUAACCACUGAGGCACGUCAGCUGAUCAGUACAUCAAUACACCAAUCAGUCAAGAGGGAAAUCAGUUUAUUGAUCUAUUAUUCUGUUAAUGUCAAUCAUCAGAUCUGUCAAUCAAUUCAGAUAGUUCGUCCAUCGUCUAUUAAACACUAAUUACAGAAAUCACUCAGUGAGAGAACCAAUCAAUGUCUGGGUCGAUACAUCAGUUAAUCAAUGAAAUACUGCUUUGUGUGUGUGUGUCUGUUUGUGUAACUGCGUAUAGUUGUGUGUGUGUGUGUGUGUGUGUGUACCUGCGUGGAGAGCAGGUGCAGCCUCUCCGUCACCUCCACCACCUCGUGUUCGGCCAUCUUGCGUCCGUGGGCGGUUUGUUCUAGAACCCCGCGUAGCUCCUCCCCCUCGGCCGCCAUUAGGGAACAACGGCGCUCCAAGAGGACGGUCUGCUCUCUGAGCUGAUUGGCCGACUGGACUUUGUCCUCAAGAUCCACCUUCUGCUCGUGGAUCUAUGAGAGAACAGAAGCCAGCGAGAUGUGUUAGGACCCUCAGACCUGCAGCCGAGGCUCCAGAGCAGCGUCUCCUCCUCCAGGAGAAGGGCUUCUCCUUUCUGGAGACCCACAAUGCAUUGCUGGAUCCGUUGGAAGAAAGGUAGGCCAGAGGGAACCACAACCAGAGCUGAGAGGAGAGAGCCUGCUGCAGCAGAAAGAGGUUUUCUGAAGGGACCCUGAUGUUCAGAGACACUACCACUUUAGUCCACUGGGGGCGCCAACAUCAACACAAAGUUUGUUUUAGUAACUUUAAAUGGCUUGUAACACUUUUUCAUUUCAUACACCCAACGUUCCAAAAGAAUGCAAAUAACCAGGUUUGUUUCAUGUUCUGGAUCAAUGUUCAUCCAUUGGAUGAAAUCCACCUGAGGACAAGCUGUGGACGACCUUCUCUGGAUCCAAAACCUCCACUGCCCCGUAUCUAAAACAGCAACCAGCAAUCCAAAGGGUGACCUCCAGCAUUGUCUCCAUCCUUCCCACCCUGACGUAGAUCUGUGAGGCUACCUGUGCCUGCAGGUGUCUGAUGGUCCUCUGGCCCUCAGCUGCCUGCCUGUUGGCGUAACCCAGCUGGACCUCCAUCUCGUUCAGGUCGGACUCCAUCUUCUUCUUCACACGCACCGCUUCACUGCGACCGCGGACCUCCGCCUCCAGACUGGCCUGCAUGGUCUCCAGGCAGCGCUGGUGGCCCCGCCUGGUGGACAGAAUUGGUAUUACUCCUACGAUAAUCCGCUAAUGCAUCGUUUACUACGUAUUAUGUAAUAUGUUUCCACCACUCUGCCCUGAAUGAUAUUUCUCAUAUUUCUGGUACCUGAGGUUCUCGAUCUCGUCGUCUUUCUCUGCAAUCUUACGCUCGAUCUCAGAACGUAUCUGCUGUAGCUCCAUCUGAUAUUUCAGGGUCUUGCUCUCCUCGUGCUCCAGGGUUCCCUUAGGGCCGGAGAAUGGUUCAGUGAACACUCGGCGGACUGUUACUGAGUAUCUACACCGGAUGAGUCGCUCACCUGCGCUUCCUCCAGAGCCGCUCUGAUGUCGCUCUUCUCCACGUCCAGGAUCUUCUUGAUCCUCUCCAGCUCGUAGAUGGUCUUCACGCCCUGCCCGAUCUGAUCCGUCAGGUCCAGUAUCUCCUCUGGAGACAAACACAAGUUGCUCAAUUGAUCACAUUAUCAAUGCAAGUCUAUGAAAGUCACGUAUAGCAAGAAGCUAGGGUUCCUAACGGGGUUCUUGCCAGAGGUUCUACCCAAUUUUUUCUGAAUAACCUUUUUUCUGAAGAUAAACUAAAGAGCCUUUUCCGCCCUCCCAAAAACAUUUCUUUGAAGAACGAGUACUUCAAGGAUUGUUGAAAACGUGGGUCAAAAAAGGACCCACUGUGAUGACGCUGCACCCUAGAUAGGAUCCUUGAGGCCUGUUGUGGUGUCUAUGAGCAUCCUUGGGAAGAUAAAAUGCUCUGUACCUCCAGGGAGAAUUCCAGGUGAAACCAUUACAUCUCACACAUGGUUCUCAGUAUAACCGUUCAUAAUGGGUGUAGAAGAGAACCCUACAUGGUACCAUUUAGUGCCUCUGAGUUAUCAGAUGUUGGAAACAGUUUGACGUCAUUGAGUUUGUUCUCAGGUUCUUUGUUUUGCUUUUGAUUUGUAAAAAGAUGAAUGAAGAACAAGGUCAGAGGUUCGUUUAGAUCAUUUGGUUUCAAGUCCUUUGAGUAGAUGUGUCACUCAUUCACACCAGGAGAUGUUCCACGCUGAGAGUUAAAGACUUGACCUCAGAGGAGGUCAAAGAACCAAAGUGAUGUACGUGGCCGCUGAGGUACCUCGCAGGUUCUUGUUCUCUCGUUUCACCGUCUCCAGCUGGUCCAGCGCUUCCUCGUAGCAGGUCUUCAGCUUGAAGAGCUCGGUGCUCAGACAGCGGGACUCCCUCUGCGACGCCUCCAGGUUCGUCUGACUCUCCUCAAACUUCAGCUUCCAGUCGCCCAACAACUGCAAAACCCCCAGAGAACUUAGUGUCUAGCGACCUCGCUCCCGACCGUGUGGAGUCGCGGCCGGCGUCGCCGACCUUGUCGAAGCUGCGUUGCGUCUUGUCCAGAGCCAGAGCGGCGGCGUUGGUUCGGUCCAGCUCCACCAGCAGGUCCUCGACCUCCGUCUGCAGACACAGUCUGCUUUUCUCCAGAGAGGAACACCUGGCCUGAGACGUCUCCACGGCUUCCUCGGAGGCCUGCAGUUUGAACGCCAACUUUUUCCUACGAGACAAACGACCGGAUCAGAGCAGCUAAAAUUAGAACCACGCGCACAGAGCUGCGAAAAAUAGAAGAAAACCCCCCGAAGCGCCCCUGAAGACGUUUGUACGUCCGUGAGUUCAGAGGCACAAGGUACUGAACGGGGGUCGCGGAAUUUUUGAUUGGUAAUUUCUUUUUCCACAAAUUGAAAUGUCUUCAGAAUCAGACUUGUAUUUAUUGUCUUUAAAUACACAUUGACAUGAAUCCAACAUGUUGUGUAAAUUGAGACGUUGUCUAUCAGUCCCACAGCAGCUCUCCAGCUGGACACCGGUUCACUCACAGCUCCUCUCACGCUGAUGCGACAUCACAGGCACCAGCCAAUCAGAUCCAUUCAUGCUCACGUCUAAAGAGCCAAGCUCAACAUGUGCGGAUCAAACGUAGAAUGGGGGGUCCCUGCUCCAUCUCGCCGUCAGUUUGGGGGUCCUUGGCCUGAAAAACGUUGAAGACCUCUGCUGUAAUACAUGACGACACCACCACGUCUCACUUGGCGCCCUCCAGCUCCUCGAUCCUCAGCACGGCGUCGGUCUCGUACUUGGCCCUGUACUGGACCACCUGGCUGUUGGCCUUGGAGAGCUCCCUCUGCAGCUCGGCCUUGGCCUCCUGCUCCUCCUCCAGCUGCUCCCUGAGCAGAGCGCUGAGGUGGUGGGACGCCUGCGCGCCGUGAGCCAGCGCCACGCGUGCCUGAAACGCACACGAAGAAGACAGCCACACGCGUGAGACGCUCUCUCAGGCGACCGGGACAAGCAGAAGAGCCUUGAGAUGAGGGGCGGAGUCACAGAGGCUCGGGGUUACUUUGGUCUCCUCCUCCAGCUGCCUCUUCAGGUCUUCAGAGUUCUGGCAAAACCCGGCUUUGGAGCGCUGGAGCUGACCAAUCAGAGCGUCCCGCUCCUCCAGACGACGGCUGUACUCGGCUGCGAGAACAACACGGAGGAGGAGCUUAAAGCCUUACAGUUAUUAUUAAUAGAAAUAAUUCAUGCUUUGUGUUUGAUGAUUCCAUUAAAAGCUGGAAUAAUGAGCAUGUUCAAAAAAAUCUAUACUUACUAUAUCUAUAUCUAUAUAUGACUAUAUCUGUGUCGAUGCACGUUUGUGUGUGCACGAAUGUGUGUCUGUGUGUGUGUGUGCACGUAUGUGUUGUACCGCUUUCUGUGAGCGCUCGUGCUUUCUGAGCUGAAGCGUCGGUCAGCUGCCUCUGCAGCUCCUCCGCUCUGCUCCUGGUUUCGUUCAGCUGGUCCUCAUAAACCCUGCACAUCUUCUCCACGGCGCCCUACAAACACACACAUGCACACGCACGUGAAAGCAUCUCCAGGGCCCAUCCGUUGCUUUGGAAGUUGCUCAUUGGGACGUGAACUAAACGAGCGGGACCGUUCCCUUCAGCUCCGCCUCCCAGCCUCAUCGAGGAUAAUUAAGGAUAAUUCCACAUGCAGGAUUUGUUUCAACGCCUGAUGCGUUUCAUCUUGGGGUUUGGGCUCAGCACCAAAAACAAAAGGAUUCCAAAUUACCCAUCAUGCAAGUUGGCUCCGUGCCUGGCAAAGACUGUAGAGUGGGAGGAGGACUCGGUUCUGUUUGUGGACUGCAGUUCACAAGUCUCAAAAUGAUGAAAAAUGAAAUCGUGGCUGUCGCAAUCUUGGUUUUUUGGAGCCAGAUGUGAGCAUAUUUUGAGGAUAGAUACUCGUCAUAAUGGUGCGGUCAAUCUCAAUCACAACGUAGCCUUAAGCAUGCCCUGCUUCGUGGUCUGUUAGAGACCUGUCAAUCAGUGUGUAGCCCCGCCCUAAAGCGUCCCCUGCUUUGUCGUCUGUUUCACUCCAAAUGGACCAUAAUCUGCUAAAUAAACAUCAUCUGUAUUGAAGAAGACUUGAAACUAGAGACUGAGACCAUAAACUCAUGUUUACAAUGUUUACUGUGAUGUCGCCCCCUGCUGGUCACUACACAGAACGCAGCUUAAAGACACAUAACUAAUAUUCUUCCUCAGUGUAACGGUAUGAUUUGUGUAGUUUUCUUUUUUAAGGUGGACUCACCUUGUUCUUGGAGAGCUGCUCCACGUUUGCAGCUAAGUCCUCCGCCUCCAUCCUGAAUUCCAUCUUCUCCUUCUCCAGUUUGUACUUGGUUCGCUGCAGAGCGUCGAUCUGCUCGCCGAGCUCUGCAACCGUGUCCGAGUGCUUCUUCCUCAGCGUGGCGGCUGUGGCCUCGUGGUGAAGCCCCGCCUCCUCCAGCUCCCGUCGCAUCUUCAGGAAGUCGGCCUCCCUCUUCCUGUUAGACGUCAAGUCAGUGGUGUUGGAGGAAAGGUACUAAGCCUCAUUCACGCAGCUUUGGUGCUGCUGCUGACCUGUUGAGAGCGAUCUGAGCAGCAGAGGCUCCUCCCGCCUCCUCCAGUUUCUCCUCCAGCUCCUCCAGCUCUCUGCUGAUGUCGUUCCUCUGGCGCUCGGCUUUGGAACGCCACGCUCGCUCUGCAUCCAGCGCCUCCUCCAGCUCCUCGCUGCGGGUCUGAGGGGUCAAUGGACGACACAAGCCAGAGUGAGGAAGGGGAGAACAUCAGGGAGUUCCAUUCUGGAUCGGUGUGACCAACCUGGAGCUCUUUGAUCUUCUUCUGAAGAUGAGCAAGCUCACUCUGUUCGUCCUCCAGCUUGGACUGAAGCUGACCCGAUUCAAAGUCUUUUCUUUAGGGAGAGAGAUGGAAGGACAGAGGAGGAACGUUCUGUUAACGAUCUCGCUAAAUAAAUAAACUUCAUCUUAUUAGUGAAUUACAAGCUGCAGCCGUGCUUUCUUACUUCUUCAGCCUCUCCUCCAGCUUUGCCUUCUGGGUCUCCAAGUCCUUCACCGAGUCGAGGGAGAGCUUCAGAUCCCCCUCCAGCUUCCGUUUGAUUCGUUCCAACUCCAAUCGCACCUUCUUCUCCACCCGCAGGGAGCCCUCCGCCUGUCGAAAGGAGAGGGGUGGGGGUGGUACUUUGAUCUGACCAGAACCCUUGAGGAGGUGCUUGGAGACAUUUUGGUGAGUCUUGAGGUGCUUCAACCAGGAGGUUCUGGGGGUCAUGAAGAUGCUUUGAAUGUCACGCGGAAGUCCAAGUAACCAGAAGGAGAUUUUAGGGAUUUUUAUUAAUUAGGGGUUUCGGAAGGAUAGUUUAGGAAGCUCCUUUAUGAAAACACUACAUAGAGGAACUUCCUGUAGAAGAAUGUUGUGCAUCAGUUCACAAACUAUGAGUUGGACACCUGAAGCAGUUUCUUCUUCCAUCGGCAGAAAUGUGUGUAAACAUCGUAUUCUCCUUGGACCAUUGAGUGAGAUCUUUGCAGUGAUGGGAGGGGGAGUCGGGGGAGUUGGGGGGGGUUGUGGAGUGUGACGUGUUCAUAUGUUCUCUUACAUUGUCCGCUUGCUGCUCCAGCCGUGCUUUCACCUUGACCAGCAUGUUGACCUUGUCCUCCUGCGCCCGGAGGUCAGUCAGGGCCUGCUGGUGAGCGGCCUGCAGGGCGGCUUUCUCUCUGGUCAGAGACGCGAUGGAUUCAUCCAGAACACACAUCUCUUGGGACAGGUUCUUCACCUGGACGGCAGGGAGAAUCAUAUUUAAUACUCACCAGUCACCAGAACUGAAUCUCUCAGCCAGAGAGAAGUGAAAGCCCCCUGCAGAGAGGCAAAGACCUUGUUCUCCACUCCGUGUCUCUCCUUCUCCACUUUGGCCAGAGUCAUCUCCAGGUCGUCCACGUCUCUCUUCAGCAGCACCACCUCCUCCUCCAGGUGACGUUUCUUGGACGUGAGCGCGGUGGUCAUCUCCUCCUCGUCCUCCAGACGUUCCUGCAUCUCCUUCAGCUUUGACUCUAUGGAGAUCUUGGACUGAAUCAGCUGGUUGCAGCGCUCCUCUGCAUCCGCCAGGUUCUCCUGCUCCUGGACGAGUCAACGAAAAACCAAAAGAGGAAUCUCAGAGGAACUGAAGAGAAUAAUGAGUUUACAAGAGAAAAGCUUUCUGAAAUAAGCAUCUGACAUCAAAUCCUCUAUUUUAGAGAGAGGUUUGUCUUUUAGGAAAAUAAAUUAGCACCUUCAUAGUAAUCCUACAGAUUUAAGACUUACAGCUUGCAGCUGCAGAGCCAAGUCGUUUUUCUCCUGAACCAACACCACCUGCUGCCCCUCCGCCUCCCAACGCUUCACCUCUGACCUGAUGCAGGAAGAAACAAUCAGACGUAUGACGCCGAUCUUUGUACUUUACUUUCUGAACCAAACCCAAAUGAAAUGUGUGAGUGGUAAGGUCAAUGGGGUCAACGGGCUUAAUGCACCUGUCAAAGGCCUCUUUUAGCUUCCUGAACUCUUCUUUGAGAGCAGCCAGUUCUUUCUCCACCUGGGCGCUCCUCAGCAUGGGGCGGAUCUUAUAGAACAGCGUCAUCCAGGGCCACGUCCUCACAGUGAAGAAGGCUCUGAGGUUGAACUGGAUCACCAGAACAGCGUCCCUGAGAGGAAGGAGUGAAGCCCAAACUCACGCUCUUACCAUGAAAAACAAAUAUCAUUUCUCAUAAGUCAUGUGGUCGUCUCACUGACCUUUGAAUCGUCAUCUUCUCGCGUUGCACCCUCAUCAGCCUACCUCUGGCCAUGGACUGAAUGAUGGUGAAGAUCGCAGCCAGACGAAAGUCCCUCAUGUCCUCCAACAGACCCAACAGACCCGCCUUGAAGAACACCUGCGAGCACGGAGAAAACCUCCAUCACAUCGCUCCAACCAAAGGUCAGUGGUGUUACCAGGAGAUCCGUACAGCAUGACACCCUGAGACCCUGGUGGUAGUAUCACAGUAUCUGAGCUGGUGGUAGUAUCACAGUAUCUGAGCUGGUGGUAGUAUCACAGUAUCUGAGCUGGUGGUAGUAUCACAGUAUCUGAGCUGGUGGUAGUAUCACAGUAUCGGAGCUGGUAGUAGUAUCACAGUAUCUGAGCUGGUAGUAGUAUCACAGUAUCUGAGCUGGUGGUAGUAUCACAGUAUCUGAGCUGGUAGUGCUAUCACAGUAUCUGAGCUGGUAGUAGUAUCACAGUAUCUGAGCUGGUAGAAGUAUCACAGUAUGUGAGCUGGUGGUAGUAUGACAGUAUCUGAGUUGGUGGUACUAUCAUAGUAUCUGAGCUGGUAGUAGUAUCACAGUAUCUGAGCUGGUGGUAGUAUCACAGUAUCUGAGCUGGUGGUAGUAUCACAGUAUCUGAGCUGGUGGUAGUAUCACAGUAUCUGAGCUGGUGGUAGUAUCACAGUAUCUGAGCUGGUGGUAGUAUCACAGUAUCUGAGCCGAUAGUAGCACCACAAUAUCUGAGCCGGUAGUAGUAUCACAGUAUCUGAGCUGGUAGUAGUAUCACAGUAUCUGAGCUGGUGGUAGUAUCACAGUAUCUGAGCUGGUAGAAGUAUCACAGUAUCUGAGCUGGUAGUAGUAUCACAGUAUCUGAGCUGGUGGUAGUAUCACAGUAUCUGAGCUGGUGGUAGUAUCACAGUAUCUGAGCUGGUGGUAGUAUCACAGUAUCGGAGCUGGUAGUAGUAUCACAGUAUCUGAGCCGAGAGUAGC
This is a long non-coding RNA of Gasterosteus aculeatus aculeatus (three-spined stickleback), 8654 nucleotides long. The record is from Ensembl. Lineage: Eukaryota; Metazoa; Chordata; Actinopteri; Perciformes; Gasterosteidae.